RNAcentral lists this long non-coding RNA (745 nucleotides) under Capsicum annuum. Its description in RNAcentral is "long non-coding RNA (CANN_LNC010108)". Lineage: Eukaryota; Viridiplantae; Streptophyta; Magnoliopsida; Solanales; Solanaceae. The record is from RNAcentral.
GAAAAAGGAAAAAACAAAAACAAAAACAAAAACAAAAACAAAAACAAAAAGAAAAAGAAAAAAUGAAAAAAAAUUGAAAAAGAAAAAAAAAGAGUAAUAGAAAAUAGAGAAAGAGAGAAAAUGAAUGAGAGAGUUAUUGAUUGUAAUUAGGGAUAAUUAAUAAGCAAGAGAGGAUUAUGGAUUGUAAAUUGCAAUUAAUUAAAAUUUAGGCUAAAUAAGAUAAUUAGGAGCCUAUAUUUGCUAAACUAUGUAGUUAUCCCUUUUAUUAUUCAUAUUGGCUCUUCAUUAUUUGGUAGUUGAUUAAAUCAAUUAUUUAAUGGUCUGAGUCUAUAGUUACAUGUCAUUUUUUCUGUUGAUCAGUGAUCUUCUAACUCUUUUGAAAUAGAUGGAGAAUUAUAAGAAUCCUUCUGUUAUUCUACUAGUUACAAAACAGUUAGACACGAUAGCUAUCUGCACACAAAAAUAAAUAAGCAUUCAGCUCAUCAAUCAAAAAAUCUAAACUUUUAGAUUAAACACACAUACAUUUACAUGGAAGAUAACAUGAUAUUCAAAGGUCAACAAUAGCAGAUAAUAUAGACUAUAGCAGAUAACAGAUAGUUAAACUCUAGUUUACCUAAUUCUAAAUUUCUAAUUUCAAAACCAAAAAACUAACGAGGCACAACAACAACACCCCUCUAAGUAGGAUGUUAAGAUAUUUGAUUUGUGGACUUCUUGAAAAUUUCCUGUUUUCAUUAUCAACCAACCA